CUUUUAAAGGAUAAUAGCAAUCCACUGAUUUUAGGAAUCAAAAAUUUUGGUGCAAUUCCAAGUAAAAGU
Molecule: transfer RNA, 69 nt
Filed under: Euproctus montanus
Lineage: Eukaryota; Metazoa; Chordata; Amphibia; Caudata; Salamandridae
Description: tRNA-Leu
Rfam family: tRNA
About the family: Transfer RNA (tRNA) molecules are approximately 80 nucleotides in length.
Source: RNAcentral